This 506-nucleotide ribosomal RNA is filed under the name uncultured bacterium. RNAcentral's name for it is "partial 16S ribosomal RNA". It matches the Rfam family "Bacterial small subunit ribosomal RNA", at positions 30 to 523 of the family's 1533-position model. The record is from RNAcentral.
AUUGAACGCUGGCGGUAUGCUUAACACAUGCAAGUCGAACGGCAGCACAGCAGAGCUUGCUCUGUGGGUGGCGAGUGGCGGACGGGCGAGUAAUACAUCGGGACCUACCCAGACGUGGGGGAUAACGUAGGGAAACUUACGCUAAUACCGCAUACGUCCUACGGGAGAAAGCAGGGGAUCUUCGGAACUGGCGCGGUUGGACGGACCGAUGUUCGAUUAGCUUGUUGGUGAGGUAAUGGCUCACCAAGGCGACGAUCGAUAGCUGGUCUGAGAGGAUGAUCAGCCACACUGGGACUGAGACACGGCCCAGACUCCUACGGGAGGCAGCAGUGGGGAAUAUUGGACAAUGGGCGCAAGCCUGAUCCAGCAAUACCGCGUGUGUGAAGAAGGCCUUCGGGUUGUAAAGCACUUUUAUCAGGAACGAAACGCUGUCGGUUAAUACCCGGCGGAACUGACGGUACCUGAGGAAUAAGCACCGGCUAACUUCGUGCCAGCCGCCGCAGUAA